AACAAGGCCUUUACUGACGCUAAAGCUCGAAGGUGCGGGUAUCGAACAGGAUUAGAUACCCUGGUAGUCCGCACGGUAAACGAUGGAUGCCCGCUGUUCGCGAUAUACGGUGAGCGGCCAAGAGAAAUCGUUAAGCAUCCCACCUGGGGAGUACGCCGGCAACGGUGAAACUCAAAGGAAUUGACGGGGGCCCGCACAAGCGGAGGAACAUGUGGUUUAAUUCGAUGAUACGCGAGGAACCUUACCCGGGCUUGAACUGCAGGAGAAGGAUACAGAGAUGUUGACGCCCUUCGGGGCUCCUGUGGAGGUGCUGCAUGGUUGUCGUCAGCUCGUGCCGUGAGGUGUCGGCUUAAGUGCCAUAACGAGCGCAACCCUUUUCGUCAGUUGCCAUCAGGUGAUGCUGGGCACUCUGGCGACACUGCCACCGUAAGGUGUGAGGAAGGUGGGGAUGACGUCAAAUCAGCACGGCCCUUACGUCCGGGGCUACACACGUGUUACAAUGGGGCAUACAGAAGGCCGGUCGCCCGCAAGAGCGAUCCAAUCUAAAAAGUGUCCCUCAGUUCGGAUUGGGGUCUGCAACCCGACCCCAUGAAGCUGGAUU
This 601-nucleotide ribosomal RNA is filed under the name uncultured bacterium. RNAcentral describes it as "bacterial SSU rRNA". It matches the Rfam family "Bacterial small subunit ribosomal RNA", at positions 727 to 1332 of the family's 1533-position model. The record is from RNAcentral.